This 1445-nucleotide long non-coding RNA is filed under the name Anas platyrhynchos platyrhynchos (common mallard). Its description in RNAcentral is "lncRNA (ENSAPLG00000029253.1)". Lineage: Eukaryota; Metazoa; Chordata; Aves; Anseriformes; Anatidae. The record is from RNAcentral.
UUGCACAGAGGAUGCACAGAGGAUGCAAAGAGGAUGCACAGAGGAUGCACAGAGGAUGCACAGAGGAUGUACAGAGGAUGCACAGAGGAUGCAAAGAGGAUGCACAGUGGAUACAUGUGGAUGCAUGAGGGAUGCACAGUGGGUGCACGACAGUUGCACAAUGGUUGCACAGAGAAUGCAUGGAGGAUCCACAGAGGAUUCAUGGCAGAUACACAGAGGAUGCACGGAGGAUGCACAGAGGAUGUGUGGUGGACGCACAGAGGAUGCAAAGCAGUUGCAGGGUGGGUGUGCAGCAGAUGCAGAGCAGAAGCACAGCAGAAGCACAGCGGGUGCAGGACAGAUGCAGGGCAGAUGCACAGUGGGUGCACGCUGGAUGCGUGGCAGAUCCUGGAGAUGCUGUGGGAAGCAGGGGCUGAUCCAGCACCUCCACGGCACCGACGCGAGGCCGGGCCACGAGCUGGCUCCUCGGGGCCAUCCUCAGAGGGAGCCGUGGCCGGGCCCGACCUUGCAUGGCCUCAGCGAAUGCUAAUUACAGAAAUCGCCCUGCAGGGGAGCAGCUUUAGAUUCUGAGAUGAAAAACCGUAAAUUACUUGCUUUUGAUCUUCUGAAGGAGAAAGCACCCGGCUGCCCCCAGAGCCGGGUGCCGGUCACCGUGGCCCCGCUGCUCUCGGUGGGGGCACAGCGGGGGCCGUGCGGGGUGUUUGGGGUCUCCGGCCAGCUCUCCGUGAGCUCCAGGGGUGUUUGUAGGAUUUGGCGUGAACCUGCCUCCCGUCCCCGCCUCCCCUGUCUUUCGUGUGUGCUCAUUAAGGCCUCUUGAUAUGAAAAUUCCCCAACUCGCGCGACUCCUCUGAUUGAAACUUCGGUGCCACCCGAGCGCGAGAUCCAUUUUGGGUAAUUACGCCGCGAUUCAGAAUUUCAGCGUAGGAUAAAAAAAAUGCCCUCCGCAGCCCUUAGCCAUCUCCCUGAAGGACUGGCAGGGUAAAACCGCGCUCUUGGGGCGCCGAUGGCUUUGCUCUGUCCCUCGCUCCUGGCACCCCAGGGUACAGAUGUGGCUGUAGGUACAGAUUUGGGGCUGGGCACGGGGGGUCCCACACCCGCUGGAAAUGCUGCUGCUGGCUGAAUCAGGGGGUGACGCGUUGGGUCAGGAGGCUCCGUCCCUUCUGGGCUCCUUACGUGCUGCCAGCCACAUCCCAUGGACCCCCCCGGGGCUUCUCUCAAACAUUUUGGAGGCUCCCAGUGUUUCACCCCCACGCAUCGACCCCUUCGGCCUUUGGUCCUAGCCAGGCUCGAUGCGCACCGAGUUUUUUUGAUGGGGCUCCCCUCCAAAAAAGCCACAGCUGCCUCCCCGCUGGAGCCACGCAGCAUCAGAGGGCACAAGGGUCCCCGUGGGGUGCCCAGGGCCGUGUUCCCAACACCCUGUAAGCAGGCAGAGCUGCAACCAGCCC